GUGUCAGCCGCCGCGGUAAUACGGAGGUGGCAAGCGUUGCUCGGAAUUACUGGGCGUAAAGGGUGCGUAGGCGGCCAGGUAAGUCGUUCGUGAAAUCCUCCCGCUCAACGGGAGAAUUGCGGACGAAACUGCUUGGCUUGAGGCCGGGAGAGGGAGGUGGAAUUCCCGGUGUAGCGGUGAAAUGCGUGGAUAUCGGGAGGAACACCAGUGGCGAAGGCGGCCUCCUGGCCCGGUCCUGACGCUGAGGCACGAAAGCUGGGGGAGCGAACAGGAUUAGAUACCCUGGUAGUCCCAGCCGUAAACGAUGGGCACUAGGUGUCUCUGAUGUAUUAUCGGGGGUGCCGGAGCUAACGCGUUAAGUGCCCCGCCUGGGGACUACGGCCGCAAGGCUGAAACUCAAAGGAAUUGACGGGG
This 414-nucleotide ribosomal RNA is filed under the name uncultured prokaryote. RNAcentral describes it as "bacterial SSU rRNA". It matches the Rfam family "Bacterial small subunit ribosomal RNA", at positions 505 to 918 of the family's 1533-position model. The record is from RNAcentral.